RNAcentral lists this unclassified non-coding RNA (3231 nucleotides) under Hermetia illucens (black soldier fly). RNAcentral's name for it is "atypical protein kinase C, transcript variant X2". Lineage: Eukaryota; Metazoa; Arthropoda; Insecta; Diptera; Stratiomyidae. The record is from RNAcentral.
CCCUUGUAAAAUUUAGCCAGUACUCGGCGGGGACUUUAGUGGUGUCCAGCUCUUCUGAGCUUUCGUAUCCUUUUUUCCAUAUUAGUUAUGAAAUUGCUUAGAAACAGGAAAAUAUUAAAGGAGUCUGCUUUAAUCCAAGAUUUUUCCAAUUGAACUUCUGAAAGCUAAAGUGUUGCUAAUUUUCCAACAAAAUUCUGGAGAAAAGGAUACGCGAGUCUGGUAGUCAAAGCGGUUCUUGCUACUCAGAAGUGCGGUUUUGCGUUGCGACUUGCCGUGAGUGCAGUGGUCCACGAAUAUAUUGGUGCUGAAGCACGGUAAACUCGCGUGAAUUACCGACUGUUUUCUAAUCAACUAACCGCAUAACUUCAGCGUUUCUAGUUUUAUCAAUAAACGAGCUCAGAUUCUCCCAGUGAUAUCCCCGCGAUUAAACAGCACCAACGCCGCAAAUCAAACCUCAUUGCAAAUACGUCGAAGCUCCCAACUAGCUGUGCUGUCUGCUCAAGUGCGAAAAAGUUUUCCAUAAAUAUAAAAUACAAGUGAAAAGCCAACAAAGGUAGUGAAGUGAAUUUAAUUUAAAAGUUUUAAGUGAGCAAGUUUUAUUAGACCGAAACGAAGUAAGUGGGGAACCGGAAUUAAAAAAAAUGGCUUGGGGCUAUUGGAGUGCCACAACGGUAGAUCGUGGCCGUUCACCACGUCGUAAUACACAAUGUGUCGCGAUGCCAGUGAAUACGGUACCGCAAUCAGAACCUCCACCACCCGUCGCCACCUGCUACAGUCCAACCUGCCGUAGCCGAUGCACUAGUCCUUGCCAUAGUCCGUGUCCGGAUAGUCCUUGUCAGUCGGUAAGUCCACCAUUGCCGGCUCCUCCAUCAUUGGCACAAUGCUCGCAAAUGCAACAACCACAACAACCGCCACAACCGAUUCUACCGCCAGAGGAUUACUCCCGACGUGCUUCAUUGGACCGCUUGGAUAGUCCACAGUCCUACGAUUUUGGCAUACAGGCACAUCAGCUCUCGGACAUACUGUGUCGGGGUGCGACGGUUUCAUCAAUACAAUCGGCCAGCAACACCCUCACACGUGGAACAUCAUUACGAGGCAGUGUAAUGGCAGGUGGAGUGGACACAGGUGACUACGAUGUACCGCAUCCGCAUCCUUAUACACAUCAUUAUAUGCAAACGACAGCAUCCAUCACCCCACCACAUUCGGCCAUGAGUCUGGUGGGCUCACGUCCUGGAUCGGCUGGUGGCUCAGGACAUGGUUCCGGAUCGGGCUCGAGCCCAGGUGGAUGUGUAAGUGGGAGUGGCAGUGGAAUGGGUCGAAGUGGUGGAGGCCGAAGUAGUGGAGGUGGUGGAACGGGAAGUUGUGAUGAUAGUGGCGGUGGAGGUGGUGGAAGUAGUGGAGGACGUAAUAGUGUUUUAGGCGAUUUGAUAGGAGGCGGCGGUGGUGUGGGUAUUGGAAUUAGUUACCAGGAAUGUAUACAUUAUGAGAGAUUGCCGAUACCGGUGCCUAUACCCACGGUGCCGCCACCACCACCCCUGCAUUCCGAGGAGGAAAUUGAACCAGCUUACGCUACAGUAUUUCCGAAUGUGCCAUCAGCGCCUGGACUGUCCUGUGUAGGAGAAGAUCGGAGUAUAUACAGACGAGGAGCACGAAGAUGGCGAAAACUGUAUCGUAUCAAUGGACACAUAUUCCAAGCGAAAAGAUUUAAUCGGCGAGCCUUCUGUGCCUAUUGUCAAGACCGCAUAUGGGGACUUGGACGUCAGGGAUUCAAGUGCAUUCAAUGUAAACUUCUGGUGCACAAGAAAUGCCACAAACUAGUGCAAAAACCAUGUACUAAUGAGCACGUCGAACCCGUUGUGAAAGAACGUGAUGAGCUCAAUGGCGAAGCACCACCAGAAAUCAUUCCUCCAGCUCCAGAUUAUCCGCCAGAAUUGACGGAACCUUGUGAUCAGGUAGCCGUCGAGGCACCACAAAAUGUGGAAGAGAACUUAGAGCCAGGCGCUCAACGUCAAUACUCGCUGGACGAUUUUGAAUUGAUUCGAGUUAUUGGUCGAGGCAGCUACGCUAAGGUCCUAAUGGUUGAGUUGAAAAAGACUCGAAGAAUUUACGCUAUGAAAGUUAUAAAAAAGGCUUUAGUAACGGAUGAUGAGGACAUCGAUUGGGUGCAAACAGAAAAGCAUGUUUUCGAAACAGCUUCGAAUCAUCCAUUUUUGGUUGGAUUGCAUUCUUGUUUCCAGACACCGUCAAGGCUCUUCUUCGUUAUCGAAUUCGUCCGCGGUGGAGACCUCAUGUUUCAUAUGCAACGGCAGCGACGCCUUCCUGAGGAACACGCUCGUUUCUAUGCAGCUGAAAUUAGUUUGGCCUUGAAUUUCCUUCAUGAGAAAGGAAUAAUUUAUCGUGAUUUGAAGCUGGAUAACGUUCUGUUAGAUCAUGAGGGUCAUAUCAAAUUGACAGAUUAUGGCAUGUGUAAGGAGGGAAUACGUCCUGGUGAUACAACUUCAACAUUUUGCGGAACGCCUAAUUAUAUAGCUCCUGAAAUUCUCCGUGGUGAAGACUACGGAUUUUCGGUGGAUUGGUGGGCCUUGGGUGUGUUACUCUAUGAAAUGUUGGCUGGACGUAGCCCGUUCGAUAUUGCUGGUGCGUCAGAAAAUCCAGAUCAAAAUACGGAAGAUUAUCUAUUCCAAGUUAUAUUGGAGAAAACUAUUAGGAUACCUCGUUCGUUAAGCGUUAAAGCGGCUCAAGUACUUAAAGGUUUCCUAAAUAAGAAUCCUGCUGAUCGUCUAGGUUGCAAUCGUGAAUCGGCCUUCAUGGACAUUGUCAAUCAUCCGUUCUUUAAAUCUAUCGACUGGGAAAUUCUUGCACAAAAGGAGGUCCAACCGCCUUACAUUCCGACUUUUGAUCCCGGCGAUCCAGAUUUUGCAUCAAAUUUUGAUCCACAGUUUACCAGAGAACCGGCUGAAUUGACGCCUGACGAUCCCCGGGUGAUUGACAGAAUCGAUCAGUCAGAGUUUGAAGGCUUCGAAUAUGUGAAUCCACUCCUAAUGUCCUUGGAAGACUGCGUCUGACAUCACGAGUCCUGUCAGCUGCAUCCAUACAACAUGCAGAGAGCUCCAGUUACGUAUUGGUGACUUCAUCUUGGUUAGUGUAAAUUUUCAAAAUAAAGUGACGGAAAGGCAACUAGAUAACAGAGAAAACUCGACACUCAAAUAUGAAAACAAGUUAAAAAAAAAA